ACCAUUCACCAUACAUUCCAUAGAAAAUUAAAAGAAAAACAAGUAUUCUGAAGCCAAAUGCUCUUGGAUGGGCAGUUGAAUAGGGAGAGAGAAUUUUUCUCCUUCAUAUUGACUGUAGUAUAUCACUUUGAGGUCGUGAGUACCUUGUGAAUUGAUAUAAAUUCUGGCAUGCAUCUUUGAGGAGAGUGGCACAGCCAAACAUCAUCCUAAAAGCGAAUCAGCU
Telopea speciosissima is the source of this 223-nucleotide long non-coding RNA. RefSeq lists it as uncharacterized. The transcript has 3 exons. Lineage: Eukaryota; Viridiplantae; Streptophyta; Magnoliopsida; Proteales; Proteaceae. The record is from RefSeq and is a predicted model, not a curated record.